GACGAACGCUGGCGGCGUGCCUAUACAUGCAAGUAGAACGCUGAAGGAAGGAGCUUGCUCUUUCCGGAUGAGUUGCGAACGGGUGAGUAACGCGUAGGUGACCUGCCUGGUAGCGGGGGAUAACUAUUGGAAACGAUAGCUAAUACCGCAUAACAGUAGAUAUCGCAUGAUAUUUGCUUGAAAGGUGCAAUUGCACCACUACCCAGAUGGACCUGCGUUGUAUUAGCUAGUUGGUGAGGUAACGGCUCACCAAGGCAACGAUACAUAGCCGACCUGAGAGGGUGAUCGGCCACACUGGGACUGAGACACGGCCCAGACUCCUACGGGAGGCAGCAGUAGGGAAUCUUCGGCAAUGGACGGAAGUCUGACCGAGCAACGCCGCGUGAGUGAAGAAGGUUUUCGGAUCGUAAAGCUCUGUUGUAAGAGAAGAACGAGUGUGAGAGUGGAAAGUUCACACUGUGACGGUAUCUUACCAGAAAGGGACGGCUAACUACGUGCCAGCAGCCGCGGUAAUACGUAGGUCCCGAGCGUUGUCCGGAUUUAUUGGGCGUAAAGCGAGCGCAGGCGGUUAGAUAAGUCUGAAGUUAAAGGCUGUGGCUUAACCAUAGUACGCUUUGGAAACUGUUUAACUUGAGUGCAAGAGGGGAGAGUGGAAUUCCAUGUGUAGCGGUGAAAUGCGUAGAUAUAUGGAGGAACACCAGUGGCGAAAGCGGCUCUCUGGCUUGUAACUGACGCUGAGGCUCGAAAGCGUGGGGAGCAAACAGG
Molecule: ribosomal RNA, 765 nt
Filed under: uncultured Streptococcus sp.
Lineage: Bacteria; Bacillati; Bacillota; Bacilli; Lactobacillales; Streptococcaceae
Description: bacterial SSU rRNA
Rfam family: Bacterial small subunit ribosomal RNA
Source: RNAcentral